Molecule: ribosomal RNA, 117 nt
Filed under: Erinaceus europaeus (western European hedgehog)
Lineage: Eukaryota; Metazoa; Chordata; Mammalia; Eulipotyphla; Erinaceidae
Source: RNAcentral
GGUAAUAGUCCUCCCCCCCUGAACACCUGAACACGCCCGAUCUUGUCUGAUCUCAGAAGCUAAGCAGAGUUGGCCUGGUUAGUACUUGGAUGGGAGAGGAAGAGAGACAAGACACCU